CCAUAAUCUAAUAUUUCAUAACAGUUUUAAAUUAAAAAUAACAACAAUAAACGAACUCCAAUUUUGUGAAAGAGGGAAACAAUAAAAGGCCAUAGAAACUUAAAAGGCUGUUAUAGUAGGUAAUAUAAUUAAGACAAAUGGAAUGGAUUAUGAAGGCAAAAAAAAAUCACAAAAAAGAAGCAUACCCUUUUUGUGGCAAAGAGAAAUUCAACUGUUUGUGUGGAAUUGAUGUGCAAAUUAAAUGCGGAGUAAAUUCAUUGGAGAAGUUGAUGCACAGAAACAAAGUGGAGAAGAAGAACGCCAUUUGCAAGUUAACGGGGGAUACCGAUUCGAUUCUUUGCCUCAAGCCUUAAGGUAAAGGUAACUAGUUCCCGGGAAGAUGGAUUCUCAGCUGGACAAUGUCAAUGGGGAAUGGCGAUUAUGCUUUUCGAACAAGUAGAAACACCUAGACAAGAGGAGAUGGUAAGCAGCCCAUUUCCAACCGAUUGUGAUUUCGAGUCUCAAGGUGGCUAGUUGUUGGAGAGAAGCAUGGCGCGGCUCUAUUUGGAAACAGCGUCUAAUUAUACUCGGUUUGUUCAAUAAAAUAAAAUAGAACCACCUACACACAAUUGCAAUAAAGGUACUUUGUCCAGGAAG
This 636-nucleotide long non-coding RNA is filed under the name Nicotiana benthamiana. RNAcentral's name for it is "long non-coding RNA (NBEN_LNC002581)". Lineage: Eukaryota; Viridiplantae; Streptophyta; Magnoliopsida; Solanales; Solanaceae. The record is from RNAcentral.